Molecule: ribosomal RNA, 554 nt
Filed under: Kurtzmaniella natalensis
Lineage: Eukaryota; Fungi; Ascomycota; Pichiomycetes; Serinales; Debaryomycetaceae
Description: LSU rRNA
Rfam family: Eukaryotic large subunit ribosomal RNA
Source: RNAcentral
CAGGGAUUGCCUUAGUAACGGCGAGUGAAGCGGCAAAAGCUCAAAUUUGAAAUCUGGCACUUUCAGUGUCCGAGUUGUAAUUUGAAGAAGGUAACUUUGGAGUUGGCCCUUGUCUAUGUUCCUUGGAACAGGACGUCACAGAGGGUGAGAAUCCCGUGCGAUGAGGUGUCCAAUUCUAUGUAAAGUGCUUUCGAAGAGUCGAGUUGUUUGGGAAUGCAGCUCUAAGUGGGUGGUAAAUUCCAUCUAAAGCUAAAUAUUGGCGAGAGACCGAUAGCGAACAAGUACAGUGAUGGAAAGAUGAAAAGAACUUUGAAAAGAGAGUGAAAAAGUACGUGAAAUUGUUGAAAGGGAAGGGCUUGAGAUCAGACUCGGUAUUUUGCAAGCCUAUCCUUCGUGGAGAGGUUUAUUAGCAGCUUACCGGGCCAGCAUCGGUUUGGAUGGUAGGAUAAUGGCAUUGGAAUGUGGCUCUUCGGAGUGUUAUAGCCUUUGUUGAUACUGCCUAUCUAGACCGAGGACUGCGUCUUUGACCAGGAUGCUGGCGUAAUGAUCUUAAG